RNAcentral lists this ribosomal RNA (253 nucleotides) under uncultured bacterium. RNAcentral's name for it is "partial 16S ribosomal RNA". It matches the Rfam family "Bacterial small subunit ribosomal RNA", at positions 524 to 776 of the family's 1533-position model. The record is from RNAcentral.
UACGUAGGGUGCGAGCGUUGUCCGGAAUUAUUGGGCGUAAAGGGCUCGUAGGCGGUUUGUCGCGUCGGGAGUGAAAACCUCGGGCUUAACUCGGGGCUUGCUUUCGAUACGGGCAGACUGGAGGUAUGCAGGGGAGAACGGAAUUCCUGGUGUAGCGGUGAAAUGCGCAGAUAUCAGGAGGAACACCGGUGGCGAAGGCGGGUCUCUGGGCAACAACUGACGCUGAGGAGCGAAAGCGUGGGGAGCGAACAGG